Anser brachyrhynchus (Pink-footed goose) is the source of this 2529-nucleotide long non-coding RNA. The record is from Ensembl. Lineage: Eukaryota; Metazoa; Chordata; Aves; Anseriformes; Anatidae.
AUGUUUACUCUUGUCCCCCCCUCCUCCCCCUCUGCCAGGACGUCCCCGGGCAGGCACACACGCAGCCCUCCUGGCCAUGCACAAGCUGCCCCCGGAACCAGCCCGCGGCUCCCAGCCGCCCGAGCAGGUGUGGUGCCGUCUCCGUGCCCCCGGAUCCUGCAUGCGAGAUGUAUGCAAAUGGCAGCGAGCGGUGGGCGACGUCAGAAAGGGACACAAAGGGUCCCCUUAAUCCUUCGUUGCCCAGAGCUGUCUCACCCCAGCGAGGCACAGCAGCAGAAUGGGGUCUGUAAAGACGUCUGUCAAGCGCUGCGCCUCCAAAGGCCUUGCUGAAUGACAGGAAAAUUUGCAUGCCAACCAAUGGCACUUUCUAGGACGUUGUCAAUGCAGUCAGCCACUGCAGAGUUUCUCUCCCUUCCCAGCCAUUCAAAGGAGCCGAGCGGCUUGCGGAAGGCGCGGGGUGGGGGCAGAGCGAUGUGACAAUCACAGCGUGUCCCCAGAGCGGAGGCAGCCCCGUGCUUGAAUGCAGCAGCGCUCCGUCCCCUCUGCCGCCGCGUUGUGCAGCUCCAUUGAGCGCGGGGAGGCUUCUGCAGCUCGGUGAGACAGAGGUGGAUUGUGCCUCGUGGGCUCAGCUGUCACUGCCCGGCCGGGAGGUGACAGAUCCGGAGCAGCUCCGCCGCUGACAUGAGCUGCAGAAGUGUCACUGACCUUGUGUGGCCCUUUGUCCCUAUUGUCUCAGCCCCUCUCAAAAGAAACCCUUGGUCUUGUUCUGCUCCUCCAGGCUGGGAAAGUGAUUAUUAUUAUGUCCUGGCCUUUGGCUGAUGAAAAUAUGUGCAGCUUUUGUCGCCCAUUUCUCCACCCCGAGUGCAUUUUCCCCCCAUUUGCUAUUCACACUUUGUCUGAAUCUGGUGUUCAUUGAGGUGGUGGAGGCUGGGGGGUACAGGGGAGGAGCAGGUACCCCCACUGCCCUGUCUCCCCUGGACCAGUGCCCCCCAGUCUGAGCAUGCGCUGCCCCCCCUUGCGCCUGGGGGCACACAUGGCAGCUCCCAGUCCCAGCCCGGCCAGCAGGAACAGGGUUGGGGUUUUUGAGGGAGACAAAGGCCAGCAAGGGACAAGGAGGCUCCCCAAACCUGUAUCCCUAGGAUGCUGCAUCCCUGCCUCAGGAUAGGAAGGGGUUUGUGUGUGUGUGUGCACGUGUGUAUUUGUGUGCACAUGGAGACACCAGAUCUAGGAGGUCACCACCUGAUUUGAUCUGCCUCUGCUCUUUUACCUCACACCAUACACAAUUUUUUGCCCCACUACACACUGAUCCCCAACGACGGUUUAAAGUCUCACCCUUCUGAUUUCACCGUGCUUCGCGCCUGCCCUGUGCUGCCUUUGCAGUGGUCCCUGUCACUGCCCAGGGCACAGAGCAGUGGCAAACGGGUCCCAAGGGUUUAGAUCUGGGACUGCCAAAGCAUUCCUGGGGUUGGCAGUGCCCAGUACUGUGCGUCGGCAGGGCAGAAGUCACUGCCUGUCUAUUGCAAAAUUCAGUAACACUUAGCAGGAGCACCACCAGGUCUGUCCCAGCUGCGUGACUUGUUCGGGUCACCCUGGAAUAGACAGCAAUGCACAGGAGCACAGCUGAAAACCCUCCCUGAUGCAGGCGGCGUUUCCAAGCUGAGAUAGACCAGAGGCGUCGUUCCGAGGUGACUGCUGCUGGGUUUAUGUCUUUGUGUGUCCCAUAACCCUGGAAAACUUGGGGGGGCUCCUGUUCUCCCAGGUUCCCCUGGCCAUGGAGCGGAGAUGGUCUGAUGAAGAGGGAGGAUUUAGCUUCUACUUAUUGUUUUAUUUUUUAGUUUCUUGUUCAGUUGUAUAGGGUCAUCUUUUAAUCUUGCUUUCAAUUAUAAGGGACAGCAUGAGGGAGGCAUAGAGCUGGGUUAACACACGUUGAAAAAUGAGGGGUAUGCUGCCGUGUAAGCCGGGAUGCGAUACAUUCAGCCGGAACAGUGUAAAUUGGGCUGUGGAUGGAUUGCUGUUUAAUUAGCUGUUUGAGCUGCAGUUCAGCCAGCUCUGCCCACUUAACGUUCUUGUUGAACAAAGUGUUAGUGCAGACUUCAAGGGCCACAAACCUCCCUGGGAAGGCAGUUUUCCUAAGGGGUCUGGUACACAAAAUGGCCUCAAUUGCAGGUGCAGUGCGUUGGAUGGAGUUAGUGGGAGCAGAUCAUCAACCAGAUGAGGAAGGGCCCUCGUUAAGAAGAUGGGGUCUGGGCUGUGGACCUCAAUGGGAGGAAGAGUGGUGAUGUGGGAAUCGCAGGUCCCACGGCGUGGGAGGACGGGCACGCAGCAGAAUCCAUCCCCAGCGCUACCAGCAGAUAAUGGCCAUUCGAUAUAGCCCACUUCUUCUGCGCCAUAAAGCUGAUGGGCUGAAUCAAGCCAUGGUAACAGCAUUGAUUUUAACAGAGUUAAAUUAAGUGAUACAUUUGGCUCUGCAGUUCCUCGUUUUGCUCUCCACCUAAUAAAGCAGGAUGAAGCCUCCUGUCUGGAGGUGCC